UCCGGCAGCCAUAUCACCCUGUAGCCCAAGACUGGUUGCCCACUGAAGCUAAGCAGGGCUGAGCCUGGUCAGUAGGUUUCUUGCCAUGCUGCGGACGCAA
RNAcentral lists this ribosomal RNA (100 nucleotides) under Sinocyclocheilus anshuiensis. Lineage: Eukaryota; Metazoa; Chordata; Actinopteri; Cypriniformes; Cyprinidae. The record is from RNAcentral.